This 251-nucleotide ribosomal RNA is filed under the name uncultured bacterium. RNAcentral describes it as "partial 16S ribosomal RNA". It matches the Rfam family "Bacterial small subunit ribosomal RNA", at positions 103 to 353 of the family's 1533-position model. The record is from RNAcentral.
CGGGUGAGUAACGCGUGGGUAACCUGCCUUAUACAGGGGGAUAACAGUCAGAAAUGGCUGCUAAUACCGCAUAAGCGCACAGAGCUGCAUGGCUCAGUGUGAAAAACUCCGGUGGUAUAAGAUGGACCCGCGUUGGAUUAGCUAGUUGGUGGGUAACGGCCCACCAAGGCGACGAUCCAUAGCCGGUCUGAGAGGAUGAACGGCCACACUGGAACUGAGACACGGUCCAGACUCCUACGGGAGGCAGCAUG